This is a non-coding RNA of Globomyces sp. JEL0801, 73 nucleotides long. The record is from the annotation of a GenBank genome assembly. Lineage: Eukaryota; Fungi; Chytridiomycota; Chytridiomycetes; Rhizophydiales; Globomycetaceae.
GGCCCAGUGGUCUAAGGGUUAUGAUCUUCGGUUUGGAUCCGAAGGGCUCCCGGUUCGAGUCCGGGCUGGGCCC